This 406-nucleotide ribosomal RNA is filed under the name uncultured bacterium. RNAcentral describes it as "partial 16S ribosomal RNA". It matches the Rfam family "Bacterial small subunit ribosomal RNA", at positions 30 to 526 of the family's 1533-position model. The record is from RNAcentral.
AUUGAACGCUGUCGGCAGGCCUAACACAUGCAAGUCGAACGAGUGGCGGACGGGUGAGUAAUGUCUGGGAAAAUGCCCGAUGGAGGGGGAUAACUACUGGAAACGGUAGCUAAUACCGCAUACCAUCGGAUGUGCCCAGAUGGGAUUAGCUAGUAGGUGGGGUAACGGCUCACCGAGGCGACGAUCCCUAGCUGGUCAGAGAGGAUGACCAGCCAGACUGGAACUGAGACACGGUCCAGACUCCUACGGGAGGCAGCAGUGGGGAAUAUUGUAAAAUGGGCGCAAGCCUGACGCAGCCAUGCCGCUUGUAUGAAGAAGGCAUUCGGGUUGUAAAGUACUUUCAGCGAUGAGGCGUUACGCGCAGAAGAAGCACCGGCUAACUCCGUGACAGCAGCCGCGGUAAUUC